UUUAAGUGCAUUUUUGCCUAAUUUUAAUCGUUCGUUUUAUUUAAAAUCUUUUUUAUAACUAGUACUUUUUUAUUGUUAUGAGAUGAUAAAACAUGAAUAAUACUUUAUGCGUGACUUAUGUUUUUAAUUUCUUUUAGAAAAACUUUCAAAUAAAACGGACGAUCAAAAUUGAGUACGGAAAAAUAUGGAUGCACUUAAA
Non-coding RNA from Oryza glaberrima (African rice), 199 nucleotides. The record is from Rfam. NCBI's taxonomy places the organism in Eukaryota, Viridiplantae, Streptophyta, Magnoliopsida, Poales, Poaceae.